AACGCACCUUGCGCUCCUUGGUAUUCCGAGGAGCAUGCCUGUUUGAGUGUCAUGGAAUUCUCAACUUAUAAAUCCUUGUGAUCUAUAAGCUUGGACUUGGAGGCUUGCUGGCCCUCGUUGGUCGGCUCCUCUUGAAUGCAUUAGCUUGAUUCCGUACGGAUCGGCUCUCAGUGUGAUAGGUUUUUGUUACGUCUCGAUAAUUCCGUCUCGGAGCCGUGUGGCUUCGGCUUCGAAUCGUCCCUCUUGGGGGACUGACUCCAUCUUGAAUCUGACCUCAAAUCAGGCAGGACUACCCGCUGAACUUAA
This 306-nucleotide ribosomal RNA is filed under the name uncultured fungus. RNAcentral's name for it is "eukaryotic LSU rRNA". The stretch from base 1 to 52 matches the Rfam family "5.8S ribosomal RNA", at positions 103 to 154 of the family's 154-position model. The record is from RNAcentral. Lineage: Eukaryota; Fungi.